CAUUACACAAAUAUGAAGGCGGGCUGGAAUCUCUCGGGGUUACAGCCUUGCUGAAUUAUUCACCCUUGUCUUUUGCGUACUUCUUGUUUCCUUGGUGGGUUCGCCCACCACUAGGACAAACAUAAACCUUUUGUAAUUGCAAUCAGCGUCAGUAACAAAUUAAUAAUUACAACUUUCAACAACGGAUCUCUUGGUUCUGGCAUCGAUGAAGAACGCAGCGAAAUGCGAUAAGUAGUGUGAAUUGCAGAAUUCAGUGAAUCAUCGAAUCUUUGAACGCACAUUGCGCCCUUUGGUAUUCCAAAGGGCAUGCCUGUUCGAGCGUCAUUUGUACCCUCAAGCUUUGCUUGGUGUUGGGCGUCUUGUCUCUAGCUUUGCUGGAGACUCGCCUUAAAGUAAUUGGCAGCCGGCCUACUGGUUUCGGAGCGCAGCACAAGUCGCACUCUCUAUCAGCAAAGGUCUAGCAUCCAUUAAGCCUUUUUUUCAACUUUUGACCUCGGAUCAGGUAGGGAUACCCGCUGAACUUAAGCAUAUC
RNAcentral lists this ribosomal RNA (532 nucleotides) under Alternaria alternata. RNAcentral's name for it is "eukaryotic LSU rRNA". The stretch from base 171 to 324 matches the Rfam family "5.8S ribosomal RNA". Lineage: Eukaryota; Fungi; Ascomycota; Dothideomycetes; Pleosporales; Pleosporaceae. The record is from RNAcentral.